UACGUAGGCGGUUUAUUAAGUCAGGGGUGAAAGGCUACGGCUCAACCGUAGUAAGCCUUUGAAACUGAUAAACUUGAGUAUGGUAGAGGAAAGUGGAAUUCCUGGUGUAGCGGUGAAAUGCGUAGAUAUCAGGAGGAACAUCGAUGGCGAAGGCAGCUUUCUGGGCCAUUACUGACGCUGAGGUACGAAAGCGUGGGGAGCGAACA
RNAcentral lists this ribosomal RNA (206 nucleotides) under uncultured bacterium. RNAcentral's name for it is "partial 16S ribosomal RNA". It matches the Rfam family "Bacterial small subunit ribosomal RNA", at positions 568 to 774 of the family's 1533-position model. The record is from RNAcentral.